AUAUGCUAUUUAUUUUGUAGUUUGUGGUACAAAGUCGAAUCUGAGUGGUAAGCACUGGCCUUUCCAAGAUUUAAGAAUCAUGGAAAAAUAGGCGAAAUAUGGCCGCUGUUUUCCUUUUUAUCCAAGCAUUAACCUACAAUGCGGCAUGGCUAUUAUAAAUGGUCAAAGUAUAUUGUAUAUAUUGUUACAUGUAUCAUUAAUACAUUUGGAACAAUUUCUUAGCACAUAUUGUUUUCUUGUACAAUUUCAAGCAUUCCUUUCGGAAAGUCUUGUCAAUGAGACAAAAGACAAUAGGAUUAGAUGCAUUGUUGAUGAAAUACGCACGUAGAAGGAUCGCAGUUGCUGGUCGGAUACUAUUUUCGUACAAUCUAGGAUUCGUUAUUUUACCAAAAUUGUGAACACAUAAAUUAAAUAUCCUGCGUACGAAACUGCAGUUGC
RNAcentral lists this long non-coding RNA (438 nucleotides) under Mytilus galloprovincialis (Mediterranean mussel). Lineage: Eukaryota; Metazoa; Mollusca; Bivalvia; Mytilida; Mytilidae. The record is from RNAcentral.